CCAAAUAUCAUCAUGUCUACACCCCAUCUUAUCCAUCAAUCUUUUGAUACUUAACUCAAACUUUUUGAUGCCGGACUCAACUUUCCUUCCAAUGUUGUUCACCUUCUUCUUUAACUUUCGCAAAUCUUUCUUAACUGAUUCCAAUGUCGUCGCUUCCCCCGAACUAGAUGAAGUAUCAUAACUUCCUCGAGAUGUAGGCGGAGGAGCAGAGCUAGAAGCUGCUCUCGGUGGAGGUGCUGGACUAGAUGCUUCAGGAGGUGCCCC
RNAcentral lists this long non-coding RNA (264 nucleotides) under Ananas comosus (pineapple). RNAcentral's name for it is "long non-coding RNA (ACOM_LNC010227)". The record is from RNAcentral. Lineage: Eukaryota; Viridiplantae; Streptophyta; Magnoliopsida; Poales; Bromeliaceae.